UACGGGGGGGGCAAGCGUUGUUCGGAAUUACUGGGCGUAAAGGGCUCGUAGGCGGCCAACUAAGUCAGACGUGAAAUCCCUCGGCUUAACCGGGGAACUGCGUCUGAUACUGGAUGGCUUGAAUCCGGGAGAGGGAUGCGGAAUUCCGGGUGUAGUGGUGGAAUGCGUAGAGAUCCGGAGGAACACCAGCGGCGAAGGCGGGAUCCUGGACUGGUCCUGACACUCAGGAGCGAAAGCGUGGGGAGCGAUCCGG
RNAcentral lists this ribosomal RNA (253 nucleotides) under uncultured bacterium. RNAcentral describes it as "partial 16S ribosomal RNA". It matches the Rfam family "Bacterial small subunit ribosomal RNA", at positions 524 to 776 of the family's 1533-position model. The record is from RNAcentral.